UGUGCUAAAAGCCUCUCCUGGGUCAGCAGGAUGCAGCCUAAAAAUAAACAAAUAGCACUUAUUGGCCUAGCAAAAGAGGAGACAUGUCGCUCAGUCUUUGAGGACUGCCUGAAAUGGCCUCUUAAGAACUGGGAAAGAAACAAGAGUGAAACGGCAGCAUGCCGAGUCUACAGAGACAGCUCUUCGGCUGGGGAUGUUGGUCUGUAAAAGGAGACAAAAAGAGAUCCAAGCAUGCAUCCAUCAAAGGCAGGAGGUCAGAGUUAUAAGUAGGGCCCGAGCACCACAGUACGAGGACCCUCUUGGAAUUGCUGCGUUUCUAAUUCUAUUACAGUUUGAAAUAAGUUUUCAUUUUUUGAUGUAUUUAAAAGAGUAAUGGAUUCCUUAUUUGAGGCCAAAGCUGAUUUUUCAGAAGCCAUUACUUUGAGUUUUCAGUGUCACAUGAUCCUUCAGAAAUCAUUCUAAUACCGGUAUGCUAAUUUGGUGUUUUGGAAAUAUUUCUUAUUGUUAUCAAUGUUUAAAACAGUAUGUUUGUGAAACAUUCACUUUUAAACAGUAGGGUAUUAAUAUAAUAUUGAUGUUAAGAAUAACAAUUAUGCCUGCUCUGUUCUUCUUUGCUUAUUCAGAUUGAAUGUUUAGUUAUUCUGACAGUAUGGGCAUGACUGUGGUUAGCUAAAGAUAAAGCAAAUGCAAACUGAGUCUACGAAUGAAUUAUUGUAGAUGAUAACUGAUCACUUAGUACACCAUAACAUCACUUUUAAGAGUUAACGGUCUGUGUGUUAGUGCUGUUAGUGCCUCACAAUCAUUUAAUUAUCAGCUGAAGUCUUUGUUGGUCUUCUUCUUUAACACACACACACACAGAGAGAGAGAGAGGCUUCGAUAACUGGCCUUGAAUCUGGUGAAUGAGUAAAAUGCACUAAGCUCUUGAAUCAGCUCCACUGAUAAUGAUAUAUGCAUUAUUCAUAUAGCUGAAUCAGCGAUCUCUCUCAUACUUUUUGGCCAUCCUCCUAUUAUCCUCACACAUUUACUAACAGAAGAACAAAAGUAUGUGUUUUAUCAGCAUAUCUAUUGAAGACUAGUAAGUGUAUCAUGUGCCUAUGAAGAAAUAUGGUGGAAAUCUCAUCAGAAACUGAAUGCCAAAUGGGGAAUAAGCCAUCUAGAAGCAUUAUAGAAUGAAUGAAAACUGCUGUAUUUACAGUAUGCUACACAGAUCAACUAGAAUGGAGCUGAAGAGGGCACAAGUUCUGACAUUUAUUCUUCAGUGUUCUAAAAGUCCAAUUUCAAUAAAGAGUCAUUGUCAAAAGUGCUCCCAGAAGUAUUUGAAAACACCCAAACUCAAAAAACAAG
Molecule: long non-coding RNA, 1344 nt
Organism: Carassius auratus (goldfish)
Lineage: Eukaryota; Metazoa; Chordata; Actinopteri; Cypriniformes; Cyprinidae
Exons: 3
Source: RefSeq, a predicted model, not a curated record